GCAAACUUGGUCAUUUAGAGGAAGUAAAAGUCGUAACAAGGUUUCCGUAGGUGAACCUGCGGAAGGAUCAUUACCGAUAACUCGUGUGACGCGGCCAACGCGCCCGUCCGCCACACCCUAUGUGUACCUACUACCGUUGCUUCGGCGGGCCUGGCCCCUCGUGGCCGGCCGACCCCCCUAUGGGGGUGUGCCAGCGCCCGCCGGAGGACCAACCGAACUCUGUUUUUGUGAUGUCUGAGCUUUACAAGCAAAUACAUUAAAACUUUCAACAACGGAUCUCUUGGUUCUGGCAUCGAUGAAGAACGCAGC
This 309-nucleotide unclassified non-coding RNA is filed under the name uncultured fungus. Its description in RNAcentral is "partial contains small subunit ribosomal RNA, internal transcribed spacer 1, and 5.8S ribosomal RNA". The stretch from base 1 to 73 matches the Rfam family "Eukaryotic small subunit ribosomal RNA", at positions 1759 to 1831 of the family's 1831-position model. The record is from RNAcentral. Lineage: Eukaryota; Fungi.